Molecule: unclassified non-coding RNA, 222 nt
Filed under: Hevea brasiliensis (rubber tree)
Lineage: Eukaryota; Viridiplantae; Streptophyta; Magnoliopsida; Malpighiales; Euphorbiaceae
Source: RNAcentral
AACUCAACCAUUGGAUUAAGAAAAGCGGGAAAUUAGCUAAAAGAGAUCCUCAAUUUGUAUCAACGGCUGGAGUUAUGCAGUAGCGAUUCAGCGAAUCAACAAGAGCGAAAACCACAGUAGUAGAGCGAAACGAAAACAAAAACAGCGCUCAGAUGAUAAGGUUCUAGAGAGAGAACUGUGAACUGUAUGAGAUGAAAGCUUCUAGAGAGAGAGAGAGAGAGA